This 80-nucleotide transfer RNA is filed under the name Cordylochernes scorpioides. Its description in RNAcentral is "tRNA-Phe". The stretch from base 5 to 68 matches the Rfam family "tRNA", at positions 5 to 66 of the family's 71-position model. From Rfam's summary of the family: Transfer RNA (tRNA) molecules are approximately 80 nucleotides in length. Their secondary structure includes four short double-helical elements and three loops (D, anti-codon, and T loops). Lineage: Eukaryota; Metazoa; Arthropoda; Arachnida; Pseudoscorpiones; Chernetidae. The record is from RNAcentral.
GGCAAAGUAACUCAGUAGGGAAAGCAUUAGACUGAAGAUCUAAAGGUCCCUGGUUCAAAACAGGGCUUCAGAUUUGGUCU